UACGAAGGGUGCAAACGUUGCUCGGAAUCAUUGGGCGUAAAGCGCACGUAGGCGGCCUCAAAAGUCGGAUGUGAAAUCCCGUGGCUCAACCAUGGACGUGCAUUCGAAACCGCGAGGCUUGAGUAUGGAAGAGGGUCGCGGAAUUCCCGGUGUAGAGGUGAAAUUCGUAGAUAUCGGGAGGAACACCAGUGGCGAAGGCGGCGACCUGGGCCAAUACUGACGCUGAGGUGCGAAAGCGUGGGGAGCAAACAGG
Molecule: ribosomal RNA, 253 nt
Filed under: uncultured bacterium
Lineage: Bacteria
Description: partial 16S ribosomal RNA
Rfam family: Bacterial small subunit ribosomal RNA
Source: RNAcentral